CUGUUGCCAGCGCUGGAAGGGGCCGGGGAGGUUGGGGCAGCCUCAGCUGCGCCCACCUUCGGGGUCGAUGGCCCCGUCUGCUGGGUUGACGGAGCAGCGCUAGCUGCAACCGCCGUGGGGGCAGAUGGCGUAACUGCCGACUCACGGCUUGUGGGUUGGACAGCCGCCGGAGGCCGUCGUGACGCUGCCCCCUGAUGCGCCACUUCGGCAAAGCUGGCCUUAGGAAGGUAUGGAACCCGCCUGCGUGCCUCUUUGAAUGAUAUGUUUUCUUUUACUUUGAUGGUGACUGUUUCUUUUUCUUUUUUCCAAGACGGGCAUGACCGCGAGUAUGCGGCAUUCUCGCCAUCACAGUUCACGCAGUGUGGAGCGUUUUUGCACGUUUCAGAGGCAUGGUCACGGGAACUACAUUUUGCACAUGUCUGCCGGCCUCGGCAGUUCUGGGAACUGUGGCCGAAACACUGGCAUUUGAAGGAACAUGCGGCCUGACCCGUAGCAUUACAUAGCUGGUCUCUGGUGUCUCAGGCAGAAUGCUUGAAGAGAAAGUCGGUACAAGAUGCUUGGUUUUUAUCUCCUUGCCGUCGCGCCUUAGCAUGAUUCUUUUAACAUUGAUCACGUUUUGCUCACUCCAGCCUUCCAACAGUUCGGCUUCUGUGAGCUCCAUCAAAUCAUCGUCAGAAACAGCACCACGACUGGUGUUCAUAGUUCGUUGUGUAGUUACUGUUACUGGGAUUUCCCCAAACGACUCAGCUUUAGGAAGGUUUUCAAACUGUUUUGGAUUGCGGAGUUCCAAAAGGAGAUCGCCGCUAGCUAGUUUCGAUGCUUUAUAGCCUGUUCCAAGAGUUUCAGUGAGAUACUUGGACACGAGGAAAAGAGAAAUCAUUCCCAUGGUCUUUUCAGGUUUGUUUGAAUGAAUUACAUGGAAUCGGGGAAAGUUUGGCAGUUGGUUUCCAAGAAAUUGGAAAAUAUCUUCGGUGUGCCCUCGUUUCUGAGGGCGAUCAGGUAGUCAGGGAAAAGAAGUGGCCAUUAGAAGUGUGGUGUUUUUGGCAGGGAUGGCCGCCGCCCACCAUGGAGCCCAACCAGGGGACGACACAGGACGGAAAUAUUCAGUUCUGCACACGCCAGCGGUACAACCCCACUAUAACCAAAUACAUAUAGCCAAGACUGGAUAUAGUGCACAAGGUUAACCCUCGCUGCCUACGAAGCCGGAAGUAAUACGAAAAUAAAGAGAGGACAGGAAAGGUUAAAAGUGAGAGAAAGAGAAAGGAAAAGGCAACUACCUAUUUCCCCCAGGUGGGUCAGUCCGGGGGUGCCGUCUAUGUGAAGCAGAGGCCGAAGAGGUGUGUUGCCUCCGCCGGGGGGCCUUGAAGGUCUAAACACCCGGCAUCGGCUCAACCCCCAGGAUCCCCCUUUCCCCAGACACGGCUAAGCCGCGCACAGUUGCACGCGGGAGGGUCCAACCCUCGUGUGCUCGGGUACGUGGUGUCGCAACACACCAAACGCCUGCUGACGCAGACGCCCCUGCGGGGCCCUUAAAUAUUCGAAAACGUCCCAAAACUUGCGGUCUCGCCUGGAUACGAGCCUGGCUUUGGCUUCUGCUUUUUGCAACAUGCGCAAACAUCGCAGUGCAAGUAUGGCGCGAGGAGCAUAGCAAAAUUUUUCAGACAUGAAUGUUCCAUUGUUCCAUUCAAUCCCCAGCACAUUGGUUCUUUAUUCUAUGGCACCACUGUGAACCAGAUCACGGCAGUGUACAAGUUCACAAAUUGUGCAUCUUUGUGCGGUAGUGCACUAGCAAAAAUGGUGCAAGGAUUUUUAGUUUCGAAAUGUCUUCAACGCACGUUUGGUGGCAACUAGUUGCUUAAACAACGAGCAGGUGUUGUGCAACGAUCUGUUUGAAUUGCCUUCAUCAUGUGUGUGUGGAAUUACGUGCGUUGGUGAGCGCCUUCGUAUGCCUUCUGUUUAUUCCCUCUCUUAGCAUUGUUUGCUUUUGAUAUCUGUGUGGUCUUAAUGCACAUUUUCCAUGUGCACUGUUUGUAUGUCGGGUAGAUUGGCGACAGACGAUGUCGCACGUCUUCGUGUUCGUUAACAUAGUGCGACCACGAUUCUGAUGUUUAUUAGCGUUCUCAAAGCUCAAAGCAGCAUUUAAUUGUGGUCUCGUCAACCGCACGUGACUCCCAGUGAAAUAUGUAUAUGUAAGAUAAUCACAACUACGCAUGUGAACCCGUAUGUUCCAGCUUUUCACAUGUUAUCACAUGAAUUAUACCGGCUUCACACGGCAACUUUCGAACACGAUCGAGCUCGAUAAUUUUUUUACAUAAAGAGUCUGAACACCGCAGUUUUAUUACACGCUAAGUUUUAUCACACACUCAUACCACAGUGCUUUUGGUUAGUGUUUUGCAUGUCUAAUUAGAAUUACAUUAAGGCGUUUUGUGCCCACGCUGCUUAAUUAACUGGUAACCCACGUUGCUUUAUAGGCCAUCACCAAAUUAUAUACAAUGCUUUAUGGAGAGAUGCAAGCAUUUGUUGAAUUAAAAGAAACACUUUAUUGAGGCCUAUACUUCAGAUAUGUUGUGAAUUUUUAUAGGAAAUUCCACCUAUCAUUUUCAUAGGAUGCUUGGGAGUCGAUAUACUUCGCUUGUGACCAGUGUUUAUGAAUGACAUAUCACAUUUUAUGGUUUGCCUGACAUUUGUUGCAGAAAGUGUCUGCUGUAUUUGCUUUAUAACCUUGACCUCCCGAGUGUGGUUGCUGCCAAUAAUGGACACAUAGAACUCAGUGCACCUUUUAUUUUUUUAAUUUGGCAUGCUGUUUCAUCAGCUUUCUACAGCAUGUGGAAGCACUUCGUCCCGCAUGUCUAGUCAUUCCCAUAGUAAAAAUACAGAAGAGCCAUCAUGUCAAAUUGUCUCGAAGCUAUAAGCACACCACUUACUCUUUUGACUAUGCCAGAUAUUAUCGGUGUAUUUGUGCAAGCAUGAUGGGAGAACAUGUCUACUGCUACUUUGCUGUACCACACUCUGCUGGCAGGUGUACUAGGGUACCAUUUGUUUGCUGCUGUUUUGCUGUUGUGUUCCAGUGAAAAACAGAGAAAUUUUUGCUGCUGGGUUACAUGGAAUAGUGUAGAUAUCACAGCUCCAACGGUUGGUACAAACAUGGGCCAUCCAUGGCCCAUCAAGUACUUUGCAGACAUUCACACAGUCUCUAUUGAUUAAACGAAUGUCCACAUAAUUUCUGCUCAGCUACAGCUUCUUCAAGCCAUUUGUAAUCAAGUGUAACAGGAAUGUUUUUGUCUUCAUUUAUAUUUCACAAUGCUGUUGCUUCUGCACCAUAACAAUUACCAGCAUGCUCAGUUCUGUACAGGGAGAGUAACCAACGUCACAGUGGAUGUGUUAAGCAAGACCCUGUACGUUUGAUUAGGCACUUCAUGGUGACAAAAAAGACUGCAUUCAGAAGCAUUAAAAAAUAUUUGAUUGUCUGUAUUAAAAGGUUAAGUUGAAUAGAUGUAUAAUUUUUUUAAAUAACAUUAUUGAAAUCAAUUUAGGGAUGGUUGCUUACAAGCCAUAUUUAUUUUUUUCAUUUUUCAUGUGUUCAAACAGGAAAAUUACACUUGGCACCGUCAUCAUUAAGUACAUGGUAGUAUGGUUUAUAUUAGGGUUGUGGCUUGUACUAGUUGGCUCAUGGUGCAAAAGUAGGGGAACAGCGCAAAGUUGAUGGAACACAAGAUGAAGAAAGGACGAACAGGGCAGACAUGGUUUAUUUGCUUGAUAAACAUGUAUUUGUCUUUUGUUGGGAGAUGUGGUACUUCCAUUCUAAAAAAAAGUAAACUACUUGAAUUUAAGGUUAUAAGGUCAGCAUGAGAUUACAAGUGUGAUGCUGGGCGCAGCAGUCUCACUGCUGAAGGCCUGAGUGUUGAAGCACUUAUGUUCCAUGAUUUGUGUCCACAUUAAAGAAACCCCGGUGUUCAAGAUUAAUCAGAUGCCCUCCCCACUACAGCCAUAUUUUCCGACAAGAAUUCCUAGAGGGAACUAUAGUGCUGCGUUCAUUCAGCUGCUGUGAGAACAUUGGGCAGUACCUGUAUUUGUCUAGUGUUUGUGCUUGUGGCUUUAAGUAGUCUUGUGGAGUUGCUUAUUUCACUUUCUAAAUGUCCACACCAUCAUACUAGUUUACUAGUUUUCUAAACACUGCAAGCUAAUACAUCUUUGUUCAAAUGCUUAAUGAUAGUGAAUUGUAUUUAUAAAGCAAUGUUUUGUUGAGUAGGAUAAACUCGUCAAGUCACUAAGCCAUUUGAAGUCACAAGGACAAAGUUUAUGCAAAUGUAUGUACUACUAGUCGUUACACUGUCAUUCUCAUUCUGGCUGAACUGCCAUACUUGCAGCUUCCAGUGACAAUAGUGUCGGGGUUCUCUCUAGACAUUUCUGUAAGAAACUUUGUGACUACAGUGCCCCUCAUAACCCCUGUGUUCACUUGAAAUGAUUAGCUCCAUAACUUAUUUUUAGAGCUUAAGAGGUUACAGAAGUAGCUGAGGACUCUGUGUAAAGUAAUGUGCAUAACUAAAAAAAAAAGAAAAACAAGAAGCAAUCAAAUUGUAUACAAGGUGAGUAGCACGCACACCGCAGUUGUUAUUCAAAGGUGCAUUAGCAUUCAGGAUUCUGUGUUAUAAUGUAGCGUGCACUAUUUAGUUUGUUUAUGAUUUAGGGUCCUCGUAAUACCUUUAAAAUUUGUUUUUCAGUGGUUUUCCCACAUCUGGCCAUGGUGGCCGCAUUUCGAUGAAGGUGAAGUGAAAAGACACCGGUGUACUUAGAUUUAGCUGCAUGUUAAAGAAUCCCAAGUGGCCAAAAUUAAUCUGGAGUAACCCACUACGGCGUGCCUCAUAAUGUGAUUAUGGUUUUGGCACAUUAAACACCAUAAUUUAUUUUUCACACAUUCAUUGCUUACAGUCUGAAUUAUUUUUGACCAUGCUAGCAAUAUUAAGCCAAUCUUGCAGCAUUUUCUCAGUGGAUGUAGUCGAAAAUUACUUUGCUGUACAGAUGAACGGAGGUAGCAGUUAUUGUAUAGUAGGUGAAUCAUAGCGCGUGAGACAAGGAAUAACUGCGGAUAUUAGAUACUCAGGGCAUAUACUUCAAACUUAUUUAUUGGCAUCAACACGCAUCCUUACAGACAUAUUUUGUGCACGGAACAUUAGACAGUGCUCGUCUAAUGUUCCAUGUUUUAUUUGUCCCUGUGCUCUUUGCGCUGCAUUCCCCAACUAAUUGUGAACCAACUCGCCCAAAUCAAAGUCCUGCUUCAUCUCUCUUGAGCUCUAUGCUUAAGAAAGGUGAGGUGCAGAGGGCAAAUGCACUCUGGUUUUGCGGGUGGAGCUUCUGUAUAAUUAUUAGGUUGUCACUGAGUGUAUGGUGUGUGUUCAAAAAGAAACCCAACUUUUCCUAUAACACCUUGAUUGCUAUCUUUGGCUCUAGCAGGUUACCAGAGACAUUAGAAACUGGAUAUACCAAAAUCAGAGUACGACUGUACAUCCCAAACCCGCGACGUUGUUUUACAUGCCAGAGGUUUGGUCAUGCUUCCCAGAGCUGCCGAGGGCGGCUAACCUGUGCGAAAUGCGGCAUCAAUGAUCACUCUGCUGAUGACUGUAAGGCUGAGUCCCGUUGUAGCAAUUGUAAUGGUGGCCACCCGAGAUAUUCUCGAUCAUGCGCAGUCUGGAAAAAAGAAAAAGAAAUAAUUGCGAUGAAGGUAAAAGAAAACAUAACUUUCACAGAGGCAAGACAAUGUAUCUCCAACAUUUGCACAGAGCGCAUCUUUCGCUAAAGUGGUACAUCGGGGGGCAGUACCACAAUGGCACUUGGCGGACGCCACCACCACGUGUAGCGGGCGUGCGGCAACGCCACCCACCCCCAUGGUGGGAGCAGCGAAGGCUGCCCUACCUCUCUCGAAUUCGACCACAGUGGAGGCCUCUGCUAGUGCUGGCACCAGUCAGCCCAGCUCAGAGGUCAAGAAAAACCCACCAACCACCAGGACGGUGGGCUCCAAGGCCUUGUCUUCACGGAAAACACACCGCUCGCAAGAGCUCGUGUCCAGUGCCUCUCAAGUGGCCAUGGACACAACACCCAGUCAGAGGCGCAGUUGACACUUAAGGAGCAGCGCGAUUUUGUCGACCGCUCCAGAAGAGACAAAACUCCAAUUACAGAGCCCGAAAAGGGCACUGUAAGCUAAACCAAGUUCAUUCUCUGACACGUAGCACAGCAUUUAUUUUAAUAUGGAUACACUGAUUAUUCAGUGGAAUAUCAGAGGCCUGCUUUGCAACCUCGAUGAUGUCCAAGAAAUUCUUAAUGAACUAACUCCAAAAGUGCUGUGUCCAAGAGACUCAUGUUAAAUCUAAACAUAAACAAUUCCUUCGUCACUGGUAUUUUUCAGAAGGAUCACGAUGAUGCCCUCGCAUCAUCAGGCGGCGUAGCCAUCAUAGCUGACAAAUCUAUAGCCUGUCAACACUUAAGGCUCAACCAGACGUACGCAUUCCAACGCGUCCACACACGCCGCGCUGACUCGACGUCGCGCCCGACGGAGGAAGAGGGCGCGCACCCAAAUGAUGCACGAGUUGCCGCGCGUAGCCACGCGUCUCGUCACGGCGGCGCAGUGUUGCUAGUUUGCCAUGUUCAAGGCAGCCUAGCCUUCGCUUAACAGCCACGUUAAGCAAUGUGUUACAUAUUGCAAGAAAACACAAUAACUUUAGUUUAACAUUUGUUUUUAUAUUUCAGAAACAUAUUUUACGACUCCUUGUGGGUCAUUCAGCUCAAUUGCGACCUAGUAUGGGUGUUGUGAGUUGGCGAAACCUGCAGCAGCAUCGGCUUAGCAUCACUCGUGUGCUAUGCGCCUCGCGUGUUGUAUGGUGUGUCAGACCUCGAACUGCGCUGCAAGCUUUCGACCUUUGUGCUAACUGUUGAAUCAUGAGACGGUUGUCCAGAAAAAAGAAAGUGUUGCUUGUCAUGAAAAUGAUGACGUUGCUGCUAAUGCUGAAGAGAAGGCGACGUCGGUACCAGCGGCAACCGCAACGAUGGUGGGUUCGGCCCAUGUUUGCAGCACGCAAGCAAGAAGGACUUUACUACACAGUAGGCUCACUGGCACAAUUUGUUAUUUUUGCUUUGUUAAAGAAACUGCGAAUUCACUGCCCUUGCAUCCACUGAGUGGCUUGUAAGAGUACCCAGCAGAGCUGAGUGCGAGAAGAUGGCCCAGGGCUUUUCGAUGUGGUAGCAGUUCCCGAACUGCCUAGGUGCUGUGGACGACAAACACGUUGCCAUUGUUAGCCCUCCUAACUCUGGCAGCGUCUACUUCAACUACAAGGGCACAUUCUCUGUGGUCCUAAUGGCUGUGGUCGACAGUGACUGCAAGUACACCCUCAUCGAUGUGGGAGCCGAGGGUCGCAUCAGUGAUGGUGGGCCACUCAAAAAUUCUGUUUGGACGUGCCCUCACUCAAGGAGACUUGGAUAUCCCAUCACUAAGUUGGCUUCCUGGCUCUGCAACAAAUGCACCAUAUGCCUUCGUAGGCGACGAGGCUUUUCAGCUGAGAGAGGAUUUUCUUCGUCCUUAUCCAGCCAGGCAGCUUGAUGAUGAAAGACGGGUCUUCAAAUAUAGGCUAAGCCGAGCAAGUCUUUGGCUAGCGGCUCCCUGCUGACUUGGGGCAGCUGCUCCUUGUGCCGUAGACGUCGAGGCUGGCGAGACCUGGGACGCUGAUACCAAACCUGACAGAUCAGAAAAAUCUGAUUGUUCAUCCAAAUUCUGCUCUUCGAAUUGGGCAAUGCCCAUUAAAAGUUCUGCACUACUGUGCUGCUGGUUCGCACCGAGUGGCUCACUUGUGUCCAGCUGCUGACUCACCUCUCUCGGGCUUGCAGGCACUACAUAAUUGCCUGAAGUGCUGCACGUAAGAAAAAGUGCAUGUUUUCUAUGUUGUGACGUUUUGUAACAUUGCAAUAAAACAAAGUGAAACCA
Molecule: long non-coding RNA, 7969 nt
Organism: Dermacentor albipictus
Lineage: Eukaryota; Metazoa; Arthropoda; Arachnida; Ixodida; Ixodidae
Source: RefSeq, a predicted model, not a curated record